GCUAGUAAUGGCAGGUCAGCAUACUGCCGUGAAUACGUUCCCGGGCCUUGUACACACCGCCCGUCACACCAUGAGAGUUGGAAAUACCCGAAGCCUGUGAGCUAACCUUAUAGGAGGCAGCAGUCGAAGGUAGAGCCAAUGAUUGGGGUGAAGUCGUAACAAGGUAUC
This 168-nucleotide ribosomal RNA is filed under the name uncultured bacterium. RNAcentral's name for it is "partial 16S ribosomal RNA". It matches the Rfam family "Bacterial small subunit ribosomal RNA", at positions 1334 to 1500 of the family's 1533-position model. The record is from RNAcentral.